Molecule: ribosomal RNA, 450 nt
Filed under: uncultured bacterium
Lineage: Bacteria
Description: partial 16S ribosomal RNA
Rfam family: Bacterial small subunit ribosomal RNA
Source: RNAcentral
GUGGGGAAUAUUGGACAAUGGGCGAAAGCCUGAUCCAGCCAUGCCGCGUGUGUGAAGAAGGUCUUCGGAUUGUAAAGCACUUUAAGUUGGGAGGAAGGGCAGUAAGUUAAUACCUUGCUGUUUUGACGUUACCGACAGAAUAAGCACCGGCUAACUUCGUGCCAGCAGCCGCGGUAAUACGAAGGGUGCAAGCGUUAAUCGGAAUUACUGGGCGUAAAGCGCGCGUAGGUGGUUUUGUAAGUUGGAGGUGAAAUCCCCGGGCUCAACCUGGGAACUGCCUCCAAAACUGAAUGACUAGAGUACGGUAGAAGGUAAUGGAAUUUCCUAUGUAGCGAUGAAAUGCGUAGAUAUAGGAAGGAACACCAGUGGCGAAGGCGACUACCUGGACUGAUACUGACACUGAGGUGCGAAAGCGUGGGGAGCAAACAGGAUUAGAUACCCUAGUAGUCC